RNAcentral lists this ribosomal RNA (279 nucleotides) under uncultured bacterium. RNAcentral describes it as "partial 16S ribosomal RNA". It matches the Rfam family "Bacterial small subunit ribosomal RNA", at positions 74 to 354 of the family's 1533-position model. The record is from RNAcentral.
UUAAACGUUUUGAGUCGGCGACCGGCGCACGGGUGAGUAACACGUAUCCAACCUGCCUCAUACUCGGGGAUAGCCUUUCGAAAGAAAGAUUAAUACCCGAUGUCAUAGUCCUACCGCAUGAUGGGAUUAUUAAAGAAUUUCGGUAUGGGAUGGGGAUGCGUUCCAUUAGUUAGUUGGCGGGGUAACGGCCCACCAAGACAACGAUGGAUAGGGGUUCUGAGAGGAAGGUCCCCCACAUUGGAACUGAGACACGGUCCAAACUCCUACGGAAGGCAGCAG